This 721-nucleotide ribosomal RNA is filed under the name Levilactobacillus brevis. Its description in RNAcentral is "bacterial SSU rRNA". It matches the Rfam family "Bacterial small subunit ribosomal RNA", at positions 42 to 752 of the family's 1533-position model. The record is from RNAcentral. Lineage: Bacteria; Bacillati; Bacillota; Bacilli; Lactobacillales; Lactobacillaceae.
ACGAGCUUCCGUUGAAUGACGUGCUUGCACUGAUUUCAACAAUGAAGCGAGUGGCGAACUGGUGAGUAACACGUGGGAAAUCUGCCCAGAAGCAGGGGAUAACACUUGGAAACAGGUGCUAAUACCGUAUAACAACAAAAUCCGCAUGGAUUUUGUUUGAAAGGUGGCUUCGGCUAUCACUUCUGGAUGAUCCCGCGGCGUAUUAGUUAGUUGGUGAGGUAAAGGCCCACCAAGACGAUGAUACGUAGCCGACCUGAGAGGGUAAUCGGCCACAUUGGGACUGAGACACGGCCCAAACUCCUACGGGAGGCAGCAGUAGGGAAUCUUCCACAAUGGACGAAAGUCUGAUGGAGCAAUGCCGCGUGAGUGAAGAAGGGUUUCGGCUCGUAAAACUCUGUUGUUAAAGAAGAACACCUUUGAGAGUAACUGUUCAAGGGUUGACGGUAUUUAACCAGAAAGCCACGGCUAACUACGUGCCAGCAGCCGCGGUAAUACGUAGGUGGCAAGCGUUGUCCGGAUUUAUUGGGCGUAAAGCGAGCGCAGGCGGUUUUUUAAGUCUGAUGUGAAAGCCUUCGGCUUAACCGGAGAAGUGCAUCGGAAACUGGGAGACUUGAGUGCAGAAGAGGACAGUGGAACUCCAUGUGUAGCGGUGGAAUGCGUAGAUAUAUGGAAGAACACCAGUGGCGAAGGCGGCUGUCUAGUCUGUAACUGACGCUGAGGC